RNAcentral lists this ribosomal RNA (460 nucleotides) under uncultured bacterium. RNAcentral describes it as "partial 16S ribosomal RNA". It matches the Rfam family "Bacterial small subunit ribosomal RNA", at positions 338 to 795 of the family's 1533-position model. The record is from RNAcentral.
CCUACGGGAGGCAGCAGUGAGGAAUAUUGGUCAAUGGACGCAAGUCUGAACCAGCCAUGCCGCGUGCAGGAAGACGGCUCUAUGAGUUGUAAACUGCUUUUGUACGAGGGUAAACGCAGAUACGCGUAUCUGUCUGCACGUAUCUUACGAAUAAGGAUCGGCUAACUCCGUGCCAGCAGCCGCGGUAAUACGGAGGAUUCAAGCGUUAUCCGGAUUUAUUGGGUUUAAAGGGUGCGUAGGCGGUCGGAUAAGUUAGAGGUGAAAUCCCGAGGCUCAACUUCGGAAUUGCCUCUGAUACUGUUCGGCUAGAGAGUAGUUGCGGUAGGCGGAAUGUAUGGUGUAGCGGUGAAAUGCUUAGAGAUCAUACAGAACACCGAUUGCGAAGGCAGCUUACCAAGCUACUUCUGACGUUGAGGCACGAAAGCGUGGGGAGCAAACAGGAUUAGAUACCCCAGUAGUC